Molecule: ribosomal RNA, 492 nt
Filed under: uncultured bacterium
Lineage: Bacteria
Description: partial 16S ribosomal RNA
Rfam family: Bacterial small subunit ribosomal RNA
Source: RNAcentral
AGUGAACGCUGGCGGUAGGCCUAACACAUGCCAGUCGAACGGCAGCACAGUAAGAGCUUGCUCUUACGGGUGGCGAGUGGCGGACGGGUGAGGAAUACAUCGGAAUCUACUUUUUCGUGGGGGAUAACGUAGGGAAACUUACGCUAAUACCGCAUACGACCUACGGGUGAAAGCAGGGGAUCUUCGGACCUUGCGCGAUUGAAUGAGCCGAUGUCGGAUUAGCUCGUUGGCGGGGUAAAGGCCCACCAAGGCGCCGAUCCGUAGCUGGUCUGAGAGGAUGAUCGGCCACACUGGAACUGGGACACGGUCCAGACUCCUACGGGAGGCAGCAGUGGGGAAUAUUGGACAAGGGGCGCAAGCCUGAUCCAGCCAUACCGCGUGGGUGAAGAAGGCCUUCGGGUUGUAAAGCCCUUUUGUUGGGAAAGAAAAGCAGCAGGUUAAUACCCCGCUGUUCUGACGGUACCCAAAGAAUAAGCACCGGCUAACCUCGUG